This 253-nucleotide ribosomal RNA is filed under the name uncultured bacterium. Its description in RNAcentral is "partial 16S ribosomal RNA". It matches the Rfam family "Bacterial small subunit ribosomal RNA", at positions 524 to 776 of the family's 1533-position model. The record is from RNAcentral.
UACGUAGGGGGCAAGCGUUAUCCGGAAUUACUGGGUGUAAAGGGAGCGUAGACGGUAAUGUAAGUCUGGAGUGGAAGGCGGGGGCCCAGCCCCCGGACUGCUCUGGAAACUAUGUUACUAGAGUGCAGGAGAGGUAAGCGGAAUUCCUAGUGUAGCGGUGAAAUGCGUAGAUAUUAGGAGGAACACCAGUGGCGAAGGCGGCUUACUGGACUGUAACUGACGUUGAGGCUCGAAAGCGUGGGGAGCAAACAGG